UACAUGCAAGUCGAGCGAAUGGAUUAAGAGCUUGCUCUUAUGAAGUUAGCGGCGGACGGGUGAGUAACACGUGGGUAACCUGCCCAUAAGACUGGGAUAACUCCGGGAAACCGGGGCUAAUACCGGAUAACAUUUUGAACCGCAUGGUUCGAAAUUGAAAGGCGGCUUCGGCUGUCACUUAUGGAUGGACCCGCGUCGCAUUAGCUAGUUGGUGAGGUAACGGCUCACCAAGGCAACGAUGCGUAGCCGACCNUGAGAGGGUGAUCGGCCACACUGGGACUGAGACACGGCCCAGACUCCUACGGGAGGNCAGCAGUAGGGAAUCUUCCGCAAUGGACGAAAGUCUGACGGGAGCAACGCCGCGUGAGUGAUGAAGGCUUUCGGGUCGUAAAACUCUGUUGUUAGGGAAGAACAAGUGCUAGUUGAAUAAGCUGGCACCUUGACGGUACCUAACCAGAAAGCCACGGCUAACUACGUGCCAGCAGCCGCGGUAAUACGUAGGUGGCAAGCGUUAUCCGGAAUUAUUGGGCGUAAAGCGCGCGCAGGUGGUUUCUUAAGUCUGAUGUGAAAGCCCACGGCUCAACCGUGGAGGGUCAUUGGAAACUGGGAGACUUGAGUGCAGAAGAGGAAAGUGGAAUUCCAUGUGUAGCGGUGAAAUGCGUAGAGAUAUGGAGGAACACCAGUGGCGAAGGCGACUUUCUGGUCUGUAACUGACACUGAGGCGCGAAAGCGUGGGGAGCCAACAGGCUUAGAU
Molecule: ribosomal RNA, 754 nt
Filed under: Bacillus thuringiensis
Lineage: Bacteria; Bacillati; Bacillota; Bacilli; Caryophanales; Bacillaceae
Description: bacterial SSU rRNA
Rfam family: Bacterial small subunit ribosomal RNA
Source: RNAcentral